Molecule: transfer RNA, 73 nt
Filed under: Bacteroidota bacterium
Lineage: Bacteria; Pseudomonadati; Bacteroidota
Also listed under: 1 other name
Description: Bacteroidetes bacterium tRNA-Lys
Rfam family: tRNA
About the family: Transfer RNA (tRNA) molecules are approximately 80 nucleotides in length. Their secondary structure includes four short double-helical elements and three loops (D, anti-codon, and T loops).
Source: RNAcentral
GACUUGGUAGCUCAGUUGGUAGAGCAUCUCCCUUUUAAGGAGAGGGUCCCGGGUUCGAGCCCCGGCCAGGUCA